CGUGUCCGAACUCCUCACAUCAUGGAAUACUGGAAACCCUUGGCUGAAGAUGGAUGUAUCAGCUGGAAUAGAAGCUGAAUAUCACCACAAAAAUAGUCGGGUUUAUUGUUGGAAAGGUCUUCGAUUUUCGGCUCGACAGGACUUGGAUGGAUUUUCUAGAUUCACUGAUCAUGGUAUUGAAGGGGUU
Quercus robur (English oak) is the source of this 187-nucleotide long non-coding RNA. RefSeq lists it as uncharacterized. The record is from RefSeq and is a predicted model, not a curated record. NCBI's taxonomy places the organism in Eukaryota, Viridiplantae, Streptophyta, Magnoliopsida, Fagales, Fagaceae. The transcript is spliced from 3 exons.